UUAAGCGACUAAGCGUACACGGUGGAUGCCCUGGCAGUCAGAGGCGAUGAAGGACGUGCUAAUCUGCGAAAAGCGUCGGUAAGGUGAUAUGAACCGUUAUAACCGGCGAUGUCCGAAUGGGGAAACCCAGUGCAAUUCGUUGCACUAUCGUUAACUGAAUACAUAGGUUAACGAGGCGAACCGGGGGAACUGAAACAUCUAAGUACCCCGAGGAAAAGAAAUCAACCGAGAUUCCCCCAGUAGCGGCGAGCGAACGGGGAGCAGCCCAGAGUCUGAAUCAGCUUGUGUGUUAGUGGAACGGUCUGGAAAGUCCGACGGUACAGGGUGAUAGUCCCGUACACCAAAAUGCACAGGUUGUGAACUCGAAGAGUAGGGCGGGACACGUGGUAUCCUGUCUGAAUAUGGGGGGACCAUCCUCCAAGGCUAAAUACUCCUGACUGACCGAUAGUGAACCAGUACCGUGAGGGAAAGGCGAAAAGAACCCCGGCGAGGGGAGUGAAAAAGAACCUGAAACCGUGUACGUACAAGCAGUGGGAGCACCUUCGGGUGUGACUGCGUACCUUUUGUAUAAUGGGUCAGCGACUUAUAUUCUGUAGCAAGGUUAACCGUAUAGGGGAGCCGCAGGGAAACCGAGUCUUAACUGGGCGUUAAGUUGCAGGGUAUAGACCCGAAACCCGGUGAUCUAGCCAUGGGCAGGUUGAAGGUUGGGUAACACUAACUGGAGGACCGAACCGACUAAUGUUGAAAAAUUAGCGGAUGACUUGUGGCUGGGGGUGAAAGGCCAAUCAAACCGGGAGAUAGCUGGUUCUCCCCGAAAGCUAUUUAGGUAGCGCCUCGUGAACUCAUCUUCGGGGGUAGAGCACUGUUUCGGCUAGGGGGUCAUCCCGACUUACCAACCCGAUGCAAACUACGAAUACCGAAGAAUGUUAUCACGGGAGACACACGGCGGGUGCUAACGUCCGUCGUGAAGAGGGAAACAACCCAGACCGCCAGCUAAGGUCCCAAAGUCAUGGUUAAGUGGGAAACGAUGUGGGAAGGCACAGACAGCCAGGAUGUUGGCUUAGAAGCAGCCAUCAUUUAAAGAAAGCGUAAUAGCUCACUGGUCGAGUCGGCCUGCGCGGAAGAUGUAACGGGGCUAAACCAUGCACCGAAGCUGCGGCAGCGACACUAUGUGUUGUUGGGUAGGGGAGCGUUCUGUAAGCCUGCGAAGGUGACCUGUGAGGGUUGCUGGAGGUAUCAGAAGUGCGAAUGCUGACAUAAGUAACGAUAAAGCGGGUGAAAAGCCCGCUCGCCGGAAGACCAAGGGUUCCUGUCCAACGUUAAUCGGGGCAGGGUGAGUCGACCCCUAAGGCGAGGCCGAAAGGCGUAGUCGAUGGGAAACAGGUUAAUAUUCCUGUACUUGGUGUUACUGCGAAGGGGGGACGGAGAAGGCUAUGUUAGCCGGGCGACGGUUGUCCCGGUUUAAGCAUGUAGGCUGAUUGUCCAGGCAAAUCCGGAUAAUCAAGGCUGAGGUGUGAUGACGAGGCACUACGGUGCUGAAGUAACAAAUGCCCUGCUUCCAGGAAAAGCCUCUAAGCAUCAGGUAACAUCAAAUCGUACCCCAAACCGACACAGGUGGUCAGGUAGAGAAUACCAAGGCGCUUGAGAGAACUCGGGUGAAGGAACUAGGCAAAAUGGUGCCGUAACUUCGGGAGAAGGCACGCUGGUGUGUAGGUGAAGUCCCUGCGGAUGGAGCUGAGACCAGUCGAAGAUACCAGCUGGCUGCAACUGUUUAUUAAAAACACAGCACUGUGCAAACACGAAAGUGGACGUAUACGGUGUGACGCCUGCCCGGUGCCGGAAGGUUAAUUGAUGGGGUUAUCCGUAAGGAGAAGCUCUUGAUCGAAGCCCCGGUAAACGGCGGCCGUAACUAUAACGGUCCUAAGGUAGCGAAAUUCCUUGUCGGGUAAGUUCCGACCUGCACGAAUGGCGUAAUGAUGGCCAGGCUGUCUCCACCCGAGACUCAGUGAAAUUGAACUCGCUGUGAAGAUGCAGUGUACCCGCGGCAAGACGGAAAGACCCCGUGAACCUUUACUAUAGCUUGACACUGAACAUUGAGCCUUGAUGUGUAGGAUAGGUGGGAGGCUUUGAAGCGUGGACGCCAGUCUGCGUGGAGCCAACCUUGAAAUACCACCCUUUAAUGUUUGAUGUUCUAACGUUGGCCCCUUAUCGGGGUUGCGGACAGUGUCUGGUGGGUAGUUUGACUGGGGCGGUCUCCUCCCAAAGCGUAACGGAGGAGCACGAAGGUUAGCUAAUCCUGGUCGGACAUCAGGAGGUUAGUGCAAUGGCAUAAGCUAGCUUGACUGCGAGCGUGACGGCGCGAGCAGGUGCGAAAGCAGGUCAUAGUGAUCCGGUGGUUCUGAAUGGAAGGGCCAUCGCUCAACGGAUAAAAGGUACUCCGGGGAUAACAGGCUGAUACCGCCCAAGAGUUCAUAUCGACGGCGGUGUUUGGCACCUCGAUGUCGGCUCAUCACAUCCUGGGGCUGAAGUAGGUCCCAAGGGUAUGGCUGUUCGCCAUUUAAAGUGGUACGCGAGCUGGGUUUAGAACGUCGUGAGACAGUUCGGUCCCUAUCUGCCGUGGGCGCUGGAGAAUUGAGGGGGGCUGCUCCUAGUACGAGAGGACCGGAGUGGACGCAUCACUGGUGUUCGGGUUGUCAUGCCAAUGGCACUGCCCGGUAGCUAAAUGCGGAAGAGAUAAGUGCUGAAAGCAUCUAAGCACGAAACUUGCCCCGAGAUGAGUUCUCCCUGAGACUUUAAGUCUCCUGAAGGAACGUUAAAGACGAUGACGUUGAUAGGCCGGGUGUGUAAGCGCAGCGAUGCGUUGAGCUAACCGGUACUAAUGAACCGUGAGGCUUAACCUU
This 2900-nucleotide ribosomal RNA is filed under the name Klebsiella pneumoniae. Its description in RNAcentral is "23S ribosomal RNA". It matches the Rfam family "Bacterial large subunit ribosomal RNA". The record is from RNAcentral. Lineage: Bacteria; Pseudomonadati; Pseudomonadota; Gammaproteobacteria; Enterobacterales; Enterobacteriaceae.